RNAcentral lists this ribosomal RNA (253 nucleotides) under uncultured bacterium. RNAcentral's name for it is "partial 16S ribosomal RNA". It matches the Rfam family "Bacterial small subunit ribosomal RNA", at positions 524 to 776 of the family's 1533-position model. The record is from RNAcentral.
UACGUAGGGUGCAAGCGUUAAUCGGAAUUACUGGGCGUAAAGCGUGCGCAGGCGGUUUUGUAAGUCUGUCGUGAAAUCCCCGGGCUCAACCUGGGAAUUGCGAUGGAGACUGCAAGGCUAGAAUCUGGCAGAGGGGGGUAGAAUUCCACGUGUAGCAGUGAAAUGCGUAGAGAUGUGGAGGGACACCGAUGGCGAAGGCAGCCCCCUGGGUCAAGAUUGACGCUCAUGCACGAAAGCGUGGGGAGCAAACAGG